RNAcentral lists this ribosomal RNA (319 nucleotides) under uncultured eukaryote. Its description in RNAcentral is "partial 18S ribosomal RNA". It matches the Rfam family "Eukaryotic small subunit ribosomal RNA", at positions 1470 to 1796 of the family's 1831-position model. The record is from RNAcentral.
CCCUUAGAUGUUCUGGGCUGCACGCGCGCUACACUGAUGCAUCCAACAAGUUUUUUCCUUGUUCGAGAGGACUAGGUAAUCUUAUGAGAAUGCAUCGUGAUGGGGAUAGAUUAUUGCAAUUAUUAAUCUUCAACGAGGGAUUCCUAGUAAGCGCGAGUCAUCAGCUCGUGCUGAUUACGUCCCUGCCCUUUGUACACACCGCCCGUCGCUGCAACUGAUUGGGUGACCUGGUGAACAUCUUGGACCGGCCCACUCAAUUUCGAGAGGACUGGAAAAGGCCGUAAAUCAGGUACAUCUAGAAAUUGCAAAAGUCGUAACA